CACACACGACCGUACCGCAAACCGACACUGGUGCGCGAGAUGAGUAUUCUAAGGCGCUUGAGAGAACUCAGGAGAAGGAACUCGGCAAAUUGACACCGUAACUUCGGAAGAAGGUGUGCCUUUAGUAGGUGAACCUGUACAAGGGGAGCCCAAUGAGGUUGCAAAAAAUCGGUGGCUGCGACUGUUUAAUAAAAACACAGCACUCUGCAAACACGAAAGUGGACGUAUAGGGUGUGACGCCUGCCCGGUGCUGGAAGAUUAAAUGAUGGGGUGCAAGCUCUUGAUUGAAGUCCCAGUAAACGGCGGCCGUAACUAUAACGGUCCUAAGGUAGCGAAAUUCCUUGUCGGGUAAGUUCCGACCUGCACGAAUGGCGUAACGAUGGCCACACUGUCUCCUCCUGAGACUCAGCGAAGUUGAAAUGUUUGUGAUGAUGCAAUCUCCCCGCGGAAAGACGGAAAGACCCCAUGAACCUUUACUGUAGCUUUGUAUUGGACUUUGAACAGAUCUGUGUAGGAUAGGUGGGAGGCUUUGAAGUGUGGUCGCUAGAUCGCAUGGAGCCAACGUUGGAAUACCACCCUGGUGUGUUUGAGGUUCUAACCUAGGCCCGUAAUCCGGGUCGGGGACAGUGCAUGGUAGGCAGUUUGACUGGGGCGGUCUCCUCCCAAAGCGUAACGGAGGAGUUCGAAGGUACGCUAGGUACGGUCGGACAUCGUGCUAAUAGUGCAAUGGCAUAAGCGUGCUUAACUGCGAGACUGACAAGUCGAGCAGAUGCGAAAGCAGGACAUAGUGAUCCGGUGGUUCUGUAUGGAAUGGCCAUCGCUCAACGGAUAAAAGGUACUCUGGGGAUAACAGGCUGAUACCGCCCAAGAGUUCAUAUCGACGGCGGUGUUUGGCACCUCGAUGUCGGCUCAUCUCAUCCUGGGGCUGUAGCCGGUCCCAAGGGUAUGGCUGUUCGCCAUUUAAAGAGGUACGUGAGCUGGGUUUAAAACGUCGUGAGACAGUUUGGUCCCUAUCCUCCGUGGGCGCUGCAGAUUUGAGGAAGCCUGCUCCUAGUACGAGAGGACCGGAGUGGACACACCUCUGGUGUAUCGGUUGUCACGCCAGUGGCAUUGCCGAGUAGCUAUGUGUGGAAGAGAUAACCGCUGAAAGCAUCUAAGCGGGAAACUCGUUUCAAGAUGAGAUCUGCCGGGGCCUUGAGCCCCCUAAAGAGUCGUUCAAGACCAGGACGUUGAUAGGUCGGGUGUGGAAGCGCAGUAAUGCGUUAAGCUAACCGAUACUAAUUGCUCGUGCGGCUUGAGCA
This 1301-nucleotide ribosomal RNA is filed under the name metagenome. RNAcentral's name for it is "bacterial LSU rRNA". It matches the Rfam family "Bacterial large subunit ribosomal RNA", at positions 1633 to 2925 of the family's 2925-position model. The record is from RNAcentral.